Long non-coding RNA from Falco peregrinus (peregrine falcon), 668 nucleotides. RefSeq lists it as uncharacterized. Lineage: Eukaryota; Metazoa; Chordata; Aves; Falconiformes; Falconidae. The record is from RefSeq and is a predicted model, not a curated record. The transcript has 3 exons.
UGCAAAUGGGCCUACAAUUCUGUCAAGAAGAACUGGAAGUACACAGUCACAAAAUUUCUGUCUGCUACUGUGGAAGGCUGCUGCCAGUUUAGACCCUUGGACUGAAGCUGUCCGGAGCUGGUCUCGGUCCUCUCUGUAGCUGACUUUCAAGAAGGCAAGGACACUAUUUUCAUUCCCUUUCCAUUCACUUUCAUAUUUCUUCCUUAUUCAGCGCUUUAUUUUAUCCCUGAUGCAGACCUGUGUUGUCAAGUUCUGGAGAUGCAAGACAUUUGGAAGGAGGAACUUUUCAAGCCACCAUCAGCUUGUCUGUUGUAGAGAGCCUCUGCUAAUAUAGCUGUGCUGGUAUGGUGACACAGGUGAAAAAAGGGGGCCACGUCUGCACGGUCUUUAGUCCAGCUGAGAUCCUAACUACUGUCUGGAAAUGUGCUCUGUCUGUCUUCACUGAGAAGUCAGGAGAGCUGCCUCCUUCUGUAACAUGGCUCAUGAGAGGGGGUCUGUAUCGAGGCCUUUUCCUUAGGAAAAAGUAACACAAGCAAUUUCUUCAUAGCUCGUUAAAUAAUUAGCCAGUUGAAGUGUGAACAUAGAAGUGCAGUGAAGGAAUAAAUCACAACAGCAGCAGCUAUAUCAGUUUUUUAUAGUAUUCCAAUUUUCUGUCUGUUACACACUGC